This 1355-nucleotide long non-coding RNA is filed under the name Coturnix japonica (Japanese quail). RNAcentral's name for it is "lncRNA (ENSCJPG00005009160.1)". The record is from RNAcentral. Lineage: Eukaryota; Metazoa; Chordata; Aves; Galliformes; Phasianidae.
UUUCACCUUUUCUUCCCUUCUUUUUCUCUUUCCUCAGAUAAACCAAAGAUGAAACAUGCGAAUCCUGGAAAAGAGAAAGAACUGAAAUAUUCAGCUGCUAUCAAGGAUAAAGAACAUUCUAAAGAAAAGGAAGGAAAGAAUCCUACAGCUUUAAAAGAUAAAGAAUCACUGAAAGGAAAAAAUCCCAAGAAUCCAGAAGAGUCAAAGGAAAAAGAGACUGCUAAAAGAAAAGAUGUGAUGCCUCCAACAGUCUUAAAGGAAAAGGACUCUUCAAAAGGAAAGGAAAUGAAAGUUCCAGCUAUGACAAAGGAGAAAGCUGCGGUGAGGAAACAAGAGGAAAAGAAAGGCACUUCAGAGAAACCUCAUGACCACAAGCAUGAACAUAUUAAACAUGAAAAAUCAAUCUCUCACACUAAGCCAGAGGAGAAAAUUAAACAACAAAAGAGAGGCCUCACCGAGAGUUCAGCCCAAGCUAAGCCAGCAAAGCAUGAAGCAGUCAGGCAUGAAAAAGAUGUUCUACCUACAAAGCCCGUCAAACUGAAAACAACUUCAAAGUCAACGGUUGAAAUCCCAGUAACAGCCCCGAAGAAAAGAAAGACGUCUAAGGAAAAAGAAGGUAGGAAAUUACUCUGUGUAUUCAUAUAUGUGUAGAUGGAAGAUCACAAGGAUGAUCAGAGGACUCAAGCACCUCUCCUCUGAAGACAGGUGGAAGGAGCUGGGCUUGUUCAGCUUUCCUUGGGAGAUCCUUUUUCAGUCUUUCAAUACUUAAAGUGAGGAGAGGGACAGACUUUUUACAUGGUCUGGUAAUGAUAGGACAAGGGGGAAUGAUUUUAACCAAAAGAGGUGAGAAAUAGUUUAGAUAUUAGGCAGAAAUUCUUCACUUAGAGACUGGUGAGACACUGAAACAAGUUUCCCAGAGAAGCUGUGGGUGCCUCAUACCUGUAAGUCUUCAGGCUUGACUUAGUCAUUUGCAACCCUGACUAUAGCAGGGGGCAUAGAACUAGCUGUUGUUCUCUUCCAACCCAAGCCUUCCUACGAUUCUAACUUUAAAAUACUUCAGAUCAUAAUCUUGCAUGUAUUUGUAUAUGGAAAAAAAAAACAAAAAAAACAAAAAACAAAAAAAAAAAAACAAAAAAAACAAAAAAAACCCAACUCCUAAAAUAUCUAUAUUAAUUUUCAAAGAAUUGUAUUUGAAAAGUCUAGGUAAUAAUCUAAUAAGAAUUAGAAUUAAAAAUAUCUCCAACCUUGAACUCUGUUACCUGUCCCUUUCCUUUUUCUGCCUAGAAAAAACAACUGAGAAGAAACCUCUGAAAGAUGAAAAACACAAAGGUAAUAAAGGGAUGAAAAUCUCUGCA